This 440-nucleotide ribosomal RNA is filed under the name uncultured bacterium. RNAcentral's name for it is "partial 16S ribosomal RNA". It matches the Rfam family "Bacterial small subunit ribosomal RNA", at positions 338 to 795 of the family's 1533-position model. The record is from RNAcentral.
CCUACGGGUGACAGCAGUGGGGAAUAUUGCACAAUGGGGGAAACUCUGAUGCAGCGACGCCGCGUGAGCGAUGAAGUAUUUCGGUAUGUAAAGCUCUAUCAGCAGGGAAGAAAAUGACGGUACUUGCCUAAGAAUCCCCGGCUAACUACGUGCCAGCAGCCGCGGCAAUACGUAGGGGGCAAGCGUUAUCCGGAUUUACUGGUGGUAAGGGGAGCGUGGACGGUCCUGCAAGCCAGUUGUGAAAGCCCGGGGCUCAACCCCGGGACUGCAUUUGAAACUGUAAGGCUAGAGUGUAGGAGAGGCAGGCGGAAUUCCUAGUGGAGCGGUGGAAUGCGUAGAUAUUAGGAGGAACACCAGUGGCGAAGGCGGCCUGCUGGACGAUGACUGACGUUGAGGCUCGAAAGCGUGUGGAGCAAACAGGAUUAGAUACCCGAGUAGUC